AACCUAAAGAAUUUGGCGGUGUUUUAUUCUAUUCAGAGGAAUUUGUCCCGUAAUCGAUAACCCUCGUUUUAUCUUGCUUAUUCUUAUUUAGUAUGUAUACCGCCGUUAUAAGUUAAUUUUUUUAGAAAUAUUGACUUUAUAAUUUAUUUAUUUUUAUUUCAGGUCAAGGUGCAGUUUAUGAUUAAGUGGAGAUGAAUUACAAUAUUUUUACGUAAAUGGAUAUAAAUUUUAUAAUUUUAUUGAAGGUGGAUUUGAUAGUAAUUUUAAUUAUAUUGUUAUUUUGAUUUUAGUUCUAAAAUGAGUACACAUCGCCCGUCGCUCUA
RNAcentral lists this ribosomal RNA (323 nucleotides) under Lonchodiodes sp. SB0028. RNAcentral describes it as "partial small subunit ribosomal RNA". Lineage: Eukaryota; Metazoa; Arthropoda; Insecta; Phasmatodea; Lonchodidae. The record is from RNAcentral.